This 950-nucleotide ribosomal RNA is filed under the name uncultured Bacteroidota bacterium. Its description in RNAcentral is "bacterial SSU rRNA". It matches the Rfam family "Bacterial small subunit ribosomal RNA", at positions 9 to 958 of the family's 1533-position model. The record is from RNAcentral. Lineage: Bacteria; Pseudomonadati; Bacteroidota.
GAGUUUGAUCAUGGCUCAGGAUGAACGCUAGCGGCAGGCCUCAUACAUGCAAGUCGAGGGGCAGCAGGACACUUCGGUGUUGCUGGCGACCGGCGCACGGGUGCGUAACACGUAUGCAAUCUGCCUUGUACUGGAGCAUAGCCCUCGAAAACGAAGAUUAAUACUCCAUACAGUCUUACUAGCGCAUGCUAGUAAGAUGAAAGCUCCGGCGGUACAAGAUGAGCAUGCAUCCCAUUAGCUUGUUGGUGAGAUAACAGCUCACCAAGGCUACGAUGGGUAGGGGUUCUGAGAGGAAGAUCCCCCACACUGGCACUGAGAUACGGGCCAGACUCCUACGGGAGGCAGCAGUAGGGAAUAUUGGUCAAUGGGCGCAAGCCUGAACCAGCCAUGCCGCGUGCAGGAUGAAGGCCUUCAGGGUUGUAAACUGCUUUUGUAUGGGAAUAAAAAAGUCCUUGCGAGGACUCUUGAAGGUACCAUAAGAAUAAGCACCGGCUAACUCCGUGCCAGCAGCCGCGGUAAUACGGAGGGUGCAAGCGUUAUCCGGAUUUACUGGGUUUAAAGAGUGCGUAGGCGGCUUCUUAAGUCAGUGGUGAAAGCUUAGCGCUUAACGCUAGAAGUGCCACUGAUACUGGGAAGCUUGAGUCAAGAAGAGGUAAGCAGAAUUCAUAGUGUAGCAGUGAAAUGCUUAGAUACUAUGAGGAAUACCAACAGCGAAGGCAGCUUACUGGUCUUGUACUGACGUUGAGGCACGAAAGCGUGGGUAGCGAACAGGAUUAGAUACCCUGGUAGUCCACGCCGUAAACGAUGAUCACUCGAUGUACACGCUAGUCGUGUGUGUCUAAGCAAAAGCAUUAAGUGAUCCACCUGGGGAGUACGCUCGCAAGAGCGAAACUCAAAGGAAUUGACGGGAGUCCGCACAAGCGGUGGAGCAUGUGGUUUAAUUCGAUAAU